Molecule: non-coding RNA, 73 nt
Organism: Trichinella spiralis
Lineage: Eukaryota; Metazoa; Nematoda; Enoplea; Trichinellida; Trichinellidae
Source: Rfam
GCCGAUGUGGCCUAAUGGAUAAGGCGCCGGCCUCCGGAGCCGGAGAUUGCGGGUUCGAGUCCCGCCAUCGGUA